Molecule: non-coding RNA, 354 nt
Organism: Ciona intestinalis (vase tunicate)
Lineage: Eukaryota; Metazoa; Chordata; Ascidiacea; Phlebobranchia; Cionidae
Source: RefSeq, a predicted model, not a curated record
ACGGCUUCUAAAAGAAAGAAUAGUUUGUCUUAUGGCACCGGUAGAUGAUUUUGUGUCCGGUUUAAUUGUAGCCCAGCUCUUAUUUCUGCAAUCUGAGAGCCCACAGAAGCCAAUCAACAUGUAUAUUAAUACACCAGGUGCAUUUGAAACAUUUAUAUUGAAAUGAAGCUAUGAAUGUAACUUAUCUAUCAAUGCUAUGUGGGGCAAAGAAUAAUUAUUAUAACGCAUGUGACCUGUUGCACACAUCUGUGCCCACUAACAAGUUACCACAUAUGUACCUUUGUGAAUGAUUGUAUUUUAAAUAAAUAGCUGAGAAUUUAGACAACACUAAAUGAACCACUGAAGUAUGGUAUA